CUAAGAAUCUUGCGCAAUGGGCGAAAGCCUGACGCAGCAAUUCCGCGUGGAGGACGAAGGCCCUCGGGUCGUAAACUCCUUUUGCGAGGGAAGAAGUUCUGACGGUACCUCGCGAAUAAGCCACGGCUAACUACGUGCCAGCAGCCGCGGUAAUACGUAGGUGGCGAGCGUUGUCCGGAUUUAUUGGGCGUAAAGCGCCCGCAGGCGGCCUGAUAAGUUUCAGGUGAAAUCUCCCGGCUUAACUGGGAGGGGUCCUGGAAAACUGUCAGGCUUGAGGCAGGGAGAGGGAUGUGGAAUUCCCGGUGUAGUAGUGAAAUGCGUAGAUAUCGGGAGGAACACCAGUGGCGAAGGCGGCAUCCUGGCCCUGUCCUGACGCUCAGGGGCGAAAGCGUGGGGAGCAAACCGGAUUAGAUACCCGUGUAGUCC
Molecule: ribosomal RNA, 426 nt
Filed under: uncultured bacterium
Lineage: Bacteria
Description: bacterial SSU rRNA
Rfam family: Bacterial small subunit ribosomal RNA
Source: RNAcentral